GAUGAACGCUAGCGGCAGGCCUAAUACAUGCAAGACGAACGGUAAGUUGAGUAGCAAUACUUAGCCAAGAGUGUCGUACGGGUGCGUAACACGUAUGCAACCUACCCUAUACAGGAGGAUAGCCUAGGGAAACCUGGAUUAAACCCUUCAUAGUAUUAUUGGAUGGCAUCAUUUGAUAAUUAAAACUGAGGUGGUAUAGGAUGGGCAUGCGUCUGAUUAGUUAGUUGGCGGGGUAAUGGCCCACCAAGACGAUGAUCAGUAGGGGGUUCUGAGAGGAAGAUCCCCCACACUGGCACUGAGAUACGGGCCAGACUCCUACGGGAGGCAGCAGUAGGGAAUAUUGGUCAAUGGAUGCAAGUCUGAACCAGCCAUGCCGCGUGCAGGAAGAAGGCCUUCUGGGUUGUAAACUGCUUUUGUCCAGGGGGAAGUAAAAAUUUCCAUGCGUGGAAAACUGAAGGUACC
RNAcentral lists this ribosomal RNA (462 nucleotides) under uncultured bacterium. RNAcentral describes it as "bacterial SSU rRNA". It matches the Rfam family "Bacterial small subunit ribosomal RNA", at positions 28 to 479 of the family's 1533-position model. The record is from RNAcentral.